GUUGGUCACUUGUAAUACAGUAACAGUGUAAUGCAUCACUGCGGUAUAUCAUUAUAAUGGUAUUUUAUAGCACUAUUGCAAAAAUAAUUGCCCAUAUUUUCAUUCAAUCCUAUCUCAGCUGCAGUUCAGGUUUCUGCCACAAGGAGGUGCAGUCUACAGAUACAGUACUGUAUACCCUGUUCCUAAAAACAGAACCCCCAGCUUCGCACAAAUAUUUACUGCACCAUGUAUAACUGAUCAACUUCACGUAUGCACGCAUCUAGCAGUUUACUGUAUAUUAAUGAUUUGCUUGCAUGCACAUAUUUUGUUGACUUUUGCUGAUUUUCAUUUGGACAGAGUAGUGUGCAGCAGACAAUAAAUACUGGUUCAAGAGGAAAGUACCUAUUGUAAAAUGAUGUAAUUGCUUUUUUAGCAGGUGCUGGGGGACUGUCUGUAGCAAAAAGUAAGAAACCAGUAAAUGUUCAAGUUGCUAGUUUUUUCAGUCUAAAGAAGUCAUUCAGUUAUCAUGCCACCUAUUCUGUGUGUUAUUACUUGACAGGGAGACCUUGGCCUCUUCAACCCAGGGCUGCCUGUGGCUGGCUGGCGAUCAGUCUGAAGCAGAUGGGUGGAUGUUGAAAAACUGGAAGAGAUCAGACAGCAGGAGGAAGGAAUAAACGUUUACUCCGAUCCCCAAUCUGUAAUACAUGGAGCUGACCAAGUUAUUGCUAAACCAGUGAAACUGGAGGAAGCAGGGUGUAACUUGCACAAUAAAAACAGACUGAUUUGGCAAGCGAGAGAAUAAAAAAACCACAUGCUGUCAUGGAUAUUCAAACAAAUUGUAACAUUGAAGAGAUGGGCUUUGUAUCACUAAACUGGUGACGGAGUCGGAAAUCGCGUGUGACGGAACUUGAGUGACAUUUUGGCUGUUCCUGCUGCUACCAAAGACUACCAGUUGUCCUUGCAGUGUUUUCAAACCACUAACCCUCUACAAUAGGACACAUCACAUCCCUAACUGCAAGAGCUGUAUUGAGGAGUUCAUUUAGUCACAUGUGCAGCAAGAGCCACGAGGCGCACAGC
Molecule: long non-coding RNA, 1056 nt
Organism: Acipenser ruthenus (sterlet)
Lineage: Eukaryota; Metazoa; Chordata; Actinopteri; Acipenseriformes; Acipenseridae
Exons: 4
Source: RefSeq, a predicted model, not a curated record